RNAcentral lists this ribosomal RNA (349 nucleotides) under Telephanus sp. BYU CO758. RNAcentral's name for it is "partial 12S ribosomal RNA". The record is from RNAcentral. Lineage: Eukaryota; Metazoa; Arthropoda; Insecta; Coleoptera; Silvanidae.
UAAAAAUGUAAUUUUGAAUUUUAAAUUAGUAUUAGUUAAUUUCUUGAAAUUUAAAGAUUUUGGCGGUAUUUUAGUCUAUUCAGAGGAACCUGUUCUAUAAUUGAUAAUCCACAAUUAGUUAUACUUAAUUUAAAUAGCUUGUAUAUCGUCGUUAUUAGAAUAUUUUAUUAGAAUUUAAUAUUCAAAAUUUUUUAUUAAAAAAUAAAUCAGAUCAAGGUGCAGUUUAUAAUUAAGAAGAAAUGGGUUACAAUAAAAUUAUUUAUAAAUAUUGAAUUUAAAAUUUAAUUGAAAUUGGAUUUGAAAGUAAUUAUUUAGUUAUUUAAAUUAUGAUUAUAGCUCUAAAAUAUGU